GGCUCCGUGGCGCAAUGGAUAGCGCAUUGGACUUCUAGGCAAACACGAAGUGAUUCAAAGGUUGUGGGUUCGAGUCCCACCGGAGUCG
Molecule: transfer RNA, 88 nt
Filed under: Xiphophorus maculatus (southern platyfish)
Lineage: Eukaryota; Metazoa; Chordata; Actinopteri; Cyprinodontiformes; Poeciliidae
Rfam family: tRNA
About the family: Transfer RNA (tRNA) molecules are approximately 80 nucleotides in length.
Source: Rfam by way of RNAcentral